GGAAGGGUUGUAGCUCAAUGGUAGAAAUGGUAGAGCAUCUGCUUUGCAGGCAGAAGGUCACAGGUUCAAUCCUUGGCCCCUCCA
Podarcis lilfordi (Lilford's wall lizard) is the source of this 84-nucleotide non-coding RNA. The record is from the annotation of a GenBank genome assembly. NCBI's taxonomy places the organism in Eukaryota, Metazoa, Chordata, Lepidosauria, Squamata, Lacertidae.